GGAAGCGUGGCUGAGAGGCCGAAGGCGCCGCACUCGAAAUGCGGUAUGCCCGAAAGGGCAUCGGAGGUUCGAAUCCUCCCGCUUCCGCAA
RNAcentral lists this transfer RNA (90 nucleotides) under Candidatus Nomurabacteria bacterium RIFCSPLOWO2_02_FULL_40_10. RNAcentral's name for it is "tRNA-Ser". It matches the Rfam family "tRNA". From Rfam's summary of the family: Transfer RNA (tRNA) molecules are approximately 80 nucleotides in length. Their secondary structure includes four short double-helical elements and three loops (D, anti-codon, and T loops). Lineage: Bacteria; Candidatus Nomuraibacteriota. The record is from RNAcentral.